RNAcentral lists this long non-coding RNA (15432 nucleotides) under Homo sapiens (human). Its description in RNAcentral is "non-protein coding OSER1-DT:32". Lineage: Eukaryota; Metazoa; Chordata; Mammalia; Primates; Hominidae. The record is from RNAcentral.
GUUAUUCUUCGGUUUGCCUCCUCCCAGUGGCGUGGAUUUGCUCCCGACCCGCUUUUGGGGCGUGCCUGCUUCCUCCUCUCUGUUAGGUGAGUGAGUAGGCGUCAUUCUUCACAGUAGUCCUCUGCCUCCACCGCCCCGGGAUCUCCUUGCGCUCGGUCCUCUACGUGGAGUCACCUAUGCAGAGGAAUUCCACGGGGCGGGGGCGAGGACAGGGUGCGGGGGUCUUUAUGGCAGACAAUCCCCGGCUGAGCGCUUGGCCAGAGUUUCUGUGAUGCUAGAAUCUGGACUGCCUGCGACCUCUCCGGGACUCGGACACCAGCCCUCGCCUCCUGGUGAUCUUUUAGGUCCUGCAGAGAAGUGAAGAGGUAUUGGACGUGGCCAGGGUCAAUAGUGUGAAGCCAGAAUUAGAAUUGAAUUGAAAUGCCUUCGGUUUUGAUAUCUCUGCUGUUUGUCUUGAGGCAACUGCUUUUCCUCCUUUGGGCCUCUCAGUUUUCCAUCUAGUAAGUGAGGAAGUUGAACCUUAUCGGUGAAUCUCGUGUUUUCAGGCGUAGACUCCUUUGAGAAUCUGGUGAGAACUGUAGAUCCUCUUGCCAAAGAAAUGCACCUACACACCAAAUUUUGCAAAAAGAUUUAGGCAGUUCACCAAAGGAGAUGAAUUUUAGGAUUCUUUACAUUUUUCUGAUUCUGAAUGUUGCUCAGAUGGUAGGCGGGAAAAGGUGAUCUGUGCAACAGCUGCCACCCGCUCCAUCACCAGGACUGGUUCUGCUGAUCUAGCUGUGCCUCUCCUCGCCUGCCAAUCUCCAGCUCCACGUCUGCACUGCUCAAAGCUUCGUGAGAACAGAUGAUUUUGCGCAAUUGAGUUGGAUGGCGUUGAUUGUGGCCCACCCCUAGAGUGAGGGUUUUUCCCUGAACCAAAACUGGCCCCAUCCACCGUCAUUCCCCAAUACCUUAGUUGUAGUCAACUAGAUAGGCUGCCGAAGAUGGUUUAACUGUGUCCAGCUUAACUACAGCCAGGCUUUGGAAUGCCUGGCCUAUGUCUGUAAAUGAAAUCUAACAAUUUAUUGUAUAACGUUGUUAAACAUGAAGCAUGAUGUUGGCCCUGGAUAAAACAUUUUAAAUUCUCGUCGUUCAUACCAGAGGCUCAGUAACUGACCGGUUGAAAGAAAACUGUUCAUUGUAACCUAAUGAUGCUAGUUAGAUAGCAUUAGAUUAUGUUAGAGAUCAGAUAACUUGUUCUAGCUGCCUUUGUCCUGUCUCACAGUGCUAGUAAGUCAGGAUUUAAACUGCCCUUCUCAACAUCUCUUGGACAAGAAAAAGCGGGAAAUAUGAUGUAUUUAUUUUCUCAGACCUUGCCAAGUGAAAUGUAUCAAAACCAAACAUGUCUUUUUAAGCUGCCACUUCAAAAUAUAACUUAAGAUAAAAUCUCAUAUAUCCUUGAGAAGGCCUGGCACGGUAGCUCAUGCCUAUAAUCCCAGCACUUUGGGAGGCCGAGGCGGGUGGAUCACUUGAGGUCAGGAGUUUGAGACCAGCCUGGCCAACAUGGCGAAACCCUUUCUCUACUAAAAAUAUGAAAAAUUGGCUGGGCAUGGUGGCGCAUGCACCUAUAAUCCCAGCUACCCGGGAGGCUGAGGCAGGAGAAUCUCUGAAGCCGGGAGGCGGAGGUUGCAGUGAGCCGAGAUUGCGCCACUGCACUCCAGCCUGGGCCAACAGAGCAAAACUGUCUCAAAAAAAAAAAAAAAAUCUCAUAUAUCCUUGAGGGGAAAGAAUUGUCUGGAUCGUGAUUGAAUUCCCAGGGCUUAGCACACUUCCUGGGGAUUAGUAGAUGCUCAAUACAGUUUUGGUGAAUUCUCAUUUUACCUGCUUUCCAUCCCUAAUUAUAUUAAAUACCAAAAACUAAAAAGUUACAGUAUUUCAUUUUAUGUAAGCACAUCUCCAUCAUAAAGAGUUAGAUGCUUUCCAAGAAUGUGACUCAUUACUCGGGGAGUACUUGGAAGGUGGGAACCUCUUGUGAAUGCUGAAGCCUGUUAACUCACACACCUGACGUGGCCUGAAGUUUUAAGUCAUUAUACAUAGGACUGGCUCACGGUGUGAUACAUCAUGACUUGGAAAGAGAUAGAAAAGCUACAAAAUGGGAUGGAUCUGAGUGAACAAAAAGCCAGAUCGGUGUCCUAUACCAGCAAUUCCAAGUCUUUUUAACCAUGGGAAAAAAACCUGAAUUUGUGUGUGGACUUUAUAUUGAAGAAAUCAACUUUGUAUUAAUGCACAUGGUAAUGCCAUUUAAUUAAAAAGCUGUGGUAGAUGUAAAAUUCCUCUAACAGUGCUUCUUUCUUGCUACAAGUGUCUUGUACAUGCUUUAGUAAGAGAGACUUAAUUCCAUGAAUUUAUACUGCAAGAACAAUUUAUAUAGGAAGAUAAUAGUUUCUCUUAAAAAAUAACUUUGGAGAAGCCAAGUCCAAAGUAAUAAAGAAAAUUAUUUGCCUAACCAUGUGGCUGCCAUCCUACCAGUUGGUAAUCUGGAAAAUAUUCUGUUCUUAUGUUUUAAGACUCAAAUUAAUUUAUUUCUUACCUCGAUAUACUUUUUUAAAUGACUUAGGGUAGGCCAGGCGUGGUGGCUCACGCCUGUAAUCCCAACACUUUGGGAGGCUGAGGCAGGUGGAUCACCUGAAGUCAAGAGUUCGAGACCAGCCUGGCUAACAUGGUGAAACCCCAUCUCUACUGAAAAAUAAAUAAAUAAAUAUACAAAAAUUAGCUGGGAGUGGUGGGCACACACCUGUAAUCCUAGCUACUUGGAGGCUGAGGCAUGAGAAGCCCUUGAACCCAGGAGGUGGAGGUUGCAGUGAGCUGAGAUCAUGCCACGGCACUCCAGCCUGGGCUACAGAGCAAGACCUUGUCUCAAAAAAAAAAAUAAAAUUAAAUUAAAAUGACUUUGGGAUAGAAGAUAGUGAUAAUGAUUAUUUGUCUUGAUUUACAAGAUGUUAGCUCAUGUAAUCUUCAUAACCAAUUUGUGAAAUGUACUUCUAUGAUGUCUGUUUUACAGCUGAGGAAACUAGGCUCAGAAUAGUUAGAUAACUUGUCCAAGGUUACAUAGUUUGUAAGUGGUAGAACGGGGAUUCCAAUCUAGGCAGUCUGACUAUAGCACCCUGCUGACCGCUGAGUUACACUGCUUUCCUUAGCCUCCCCACCUUCACCUCCUGUAUGUACCCAGCUAGACCAGGGAUACCUGCUUUCACCUGGAAAAUACCACUGGGUUUGAGGAAAUUGGCUGCCCAGGGCCUAGGACUGUUCCAGCCACUCUUUCUUUGCAUAUAUUUGAACCCAGCAGGCAUAUUUCCCUCUCAGGUCUUUUGUAUGUAUUUCCCCUCCUGGAGCAUUGUUUACUCACAGUUCAUCUUGUCAUUCAAAGUCUCUGCUCAUAUCAGCUCCCCAGGGGGGUCUUCCUUGGCUUCCCCAGCACCCCCUUCACUGUGUAUCCCUUUACCCUGCUUUAUCAUAGCACUUGUCACUACCUGACAAUGUAUAGUUAUUUUUUGGUCCCCUCACUAGAAUAGAAGCUACCCGAGGACAGGGACUUUGUGUCUUUUUUUUAGUCACUAUUUUUUUUAAUCAAAGAUGCACAUUUUCCCACAAUUUAUUAAUAGCGGUUAGAAAAUCUGAAUGUGUCUUAUAAUCGCCAGUGUGUCCUGGUUUAAUUGGUAGUAUUUUUUUCUUUCUUACUUGUUCCUACAGUAAGUGGUGAGUCUUUAAAAUGAUGGUGUCUUAGAAUUGAUGAAAAUACAGUGUAUCCCCAAGGCCUGAACUCUAUGUGGCACAUAGUUGGCUCUCAAUAAUUACUUGUUAAAGGAAGGCAUUGAGUGUUGUGUGCCAGAAACUAUUGAAACCUUUUUUUUUUUUUUGAGAUCUCGCUCUGUCACCCAGGCUGGAGUGAAAUGGCACAAUCUUGGCUCACUGUAACCUCCGCCCCCAGGUUCGACUGAUUCUCGUGCCUCAGCCUCCUCAGUAGCUGGGAUUACAGGUGAGCACCACCAUGCUCUGCUAAUUUUUGUAUUUUUAGUAGCAAUUUAUAUCAUUCCAGCAGACUCUUAGAAAGUAGAUGGGGAGGGUGGGGAAUGUAAGAGAGACCAGUUAGAAGACACUCGAAAUAAUCUGAGGGAAGACCAGAAUGGGAACCAUGGCUGAAGGAUGGUGAGACCAGCAGGGCUCGGCAGCCUGCUGAGCAGAUGUCUGGCCUGAGCCGUGCCAGUAGGUGGCCCCCUUCACUAAGGAAGGGAAUCCAAGAAGACUAGGUUUGGGGAGUGUGAGACGGUUUGGUUUUGAACAUAAAAGUUUCAAGUGCAGAUGAAAGGAGGAAUCAGGUCCCAAAGGCUGCAGCAAGGGACUUAUCCUGAGGUUUCUCCUUCUGAGAACUGUAGGAGCUAUGGAAAGAAAUGACCAAAUUUAUUUUAGAAAGAUGACUGGUUUCAGCGUGAGCCGGCAUGGUGAUCCAGGCCUGAGAUGAUGGUGAUCGAAGGGGCAGGUGGCCCUAAGUAUGGAGAACAAGUGAGCCGAUUGGAAAGUUGCGUAGAUCAGGCCUUGGGGAGAGAUUGACUACGAACAGGAUGGGCAGUGAGAGAAAGCUGACAAUGAUACUUUGCUUUCCAGUUUGAGCAACUGAAUGGAUAUUGGUGCCCAUCUCAAUUAAACUCUGUUGAACCCAGCUGACAGUGAGCAGAGGAAGAACAUUUAAAUGGAGAAUCAUAGUAACAGCUAAUACUUUCUUUUAUUUCUUUCCUUUUCUUUUCUUUUUUUUGAGACAGAGUCUUGCUCUGUUGCCCAGGCUGGGGUGCAGUGGUGCAAUCUUGGCUCACUGCAACCUCUGCUUCCCUAAUUCAAGUGAUUCUCCUGCCUUAGUCACCCACGUGUGCCACCAUGCCUGGCUAAUUUUUGUUUGUUUGUUUGUUUGUGGAGACAGCGUUUUGCCAUGUUGGCCAGGCUGCUCUCGGACUCCUGGCCUCAAGUGAUCUGCCUGCCUCAGCCUCCCAAAGUGCUGGGACUGCAGGCAUGAGCUACCAUGCCCAGCCUAUGAGGGCUAAUACUUUCAUAGCUCUUCCUAUGCAUCAGAAGACUCAUUUUAAUUCUCACCACAAUUCUAUGAGAUUACCAUUAUCACACUCAUCUUCCAGAUGAGGAAACUGAAGCAAAGAGAAGUUAAGUAACUCACCAAGGUCACACAGCUAACAAGUGGCAGAGCUAGAAUUUGAACCUAGGCAGCUUGGUAGAGUCUGUGCUGUCACUGCCUCUCUGUGCUGAUAUAUCUCUAAAUUAGUUCAGUUUGGACAGAGUGAACCUGAGAGAUCCGUGGGGCAGCCGCGUGGAGGUGUCUAGCAGGCAUGCAGAUAUAUGGUUCUGAAGCUCACAUGGGAGGUGGGGACUGGAAAUAAAGACUGUGGAGUCUGCAUACAGGUGGCCAUUGAAGCCACAGGAAAGGUCAGGACCCUUAAGGAGAGGGUGGGAGAUAAUCAGAGGAAAGAAACAAGGGAGCCCUGGAAGGCAAACACAAGCAUUCCAGUUGUGGGAAGGACAUAGUCCUUUCUGCAAAUGAAUACACUGCACCUGGCUUAUAGAUCUUCAGUCAACAGAUAGUCCAUCCCGCAGAAUUUGUUUGGCUCUGGGUACCCUGACAAAAUGGAGUUCCUGGAGCCACAGCCCUAAGGACCUGCCUCAAUGGUGGUGAUCCUCCCCACUUUCUUCUACCAUGAGAGUCCACUGGGGGCCUGUUGGCUUCUCUGGGCAUCUGUUUUUUGCCCCUCCCUACAACUGAAGAGCCUCCAGCUCCUCUGUCUACCACCCGUCCACUUCGUCAGCUCAGGUCCCCUCCCUGUCUCUACGACCACAGUAACAUUUCACCUGGAGCUUCUUCAGGUCCCUCCUGAACUUAUUUUCAGCCCUUUACCCGUACAUUUCUUGUAUCUCCUGCUAGAUUCUAAAUUUCUGGAGGGCAAGAAAAACCUAUUAUGUUGACUUUCCCUCCCUCAACUCCUGCUCCCCUGUGUGUGUUAAAUGGCCCGACCCCGUUGUCCCAUGGGACUUCGCAUGCAGUCCACCAGAAUAGGAGCUGUACCUACCACAGGAGCCAGUGAGUCCAUCAGUCAGUCAGUCAUCUCAGCAAAUAAUUCCAGUUGUCUACUGGCUUUCUGGAAACAUGACUGGGGACUGUUGAUGCCUUUGACAGUUGAUUCAAGCAGCAGGACCUUUCACAACAGCCUCCUGUUUUUGUGGAUGGGGAAUAGGCAAGGGUUGGGAAGCGGGAAUUCGCCGCUCUUUCUUGUCAUUCUCUUCAUAGCCCCCAAGCUACUGUGGUCUAUUGUUUUGAUAGUUGCUUUCCCGAAAUGUUAACAGGAUGGAGAGUAAAGGAGGUAAAGGAGGACUCUGAUGCCUCAGCCAUGCGCCUGUGUGCCGAUUCCCAUUAAGCCUGCACCAAUUUGAUUUCCAAGACUCCAGUCAAUCCUCAGAGCUCCAGGAGGGGAGGGGCAGCUUUUCCUGGUAGCUGCUGAUCACCAGCAGAGGGAGCCCUAGGACUGCAGGGCCUCUUUCCUUACCGUUGGUGAAGCCCUUCACUGUGGCUUCAAAACUGUGGAAGACCCGGGAUUUGUGGAUCACUUGCCUUUAGAAUAGAAUCAAGAAAUAAAGCUGCAGAAGAAAGAAUCUCCAUGUGGUAAGGAUUGGAAGGGAGUGUUGAGAGGGGCUUUUGGGGUGCUGGUAAUAUUGUUCUUUGACCCGAUGUUGGUUAUAGGAGUGUGUGCUAUAAUGUGGUAUAUGUACAUUUUUCUGUGCGUAUAACUAAACUUCAGUUAAAAGUUUUUAAAACUUAAACAUCUCUAUGUAUACCACAAAAUAGGUAUCAGGUUAGGGUGAGCGGUUUUUUUCCCUACAAUUCUUAACCUUAUCUGAGUCACAAGACAGCCCUCCCUCCCUUCCUCCGAGAAAGCCACAGACCACUGGUUAAGGACUUCUCCUGCAGCAGCCGAAUAGAGAAAGUGAGCAAAGGACAUGAGCAGACGGUUCACAGCAAAAGAAAUACAAAUAGCACUUAAACUUAUGAAAAAAUGCUCAAUCUCAAUCUUCAAAGAGAAGUGCUUAUAAAAAGUAUGCGGAGAUACCAUUUUUAACCUGUCAGAUUGGCAGAAAUCCCAAAGCUUGACAGCAUGCCCUGUGGAUGGGGCUGGAGGUGGGGGAGUCGGGAGAAUAAAUAGCAGGACUUUUAAUACAUUACCAGUGGGAUUGUGAAAUUGACAGCCCUGUUGAUUUGGGCAAUAUCUACCAAAAUUACAAGUCUAAGAGUCUACCCUGUAGAUGACAUUUGUACCUAUAUGUAAUAAUUUAUGUAAAAGAUGAUCCAUUGCAACAUUGGCUGCAAUAGCAAAAGAUCAGAAACAACUGAAGUGUAUGUACAGGACUGGUGCAUCCACAAAGCAAAAUACUAUAUAACUGGGAAAAAGUUUGAGGAAGCUGUGUGUGCGCUGAGGAAAGAUCUCUAAGAUAUAGGUGAAAAAAAGCACGACGUACAGCUAAGAAUAUAUGUUUGUAUUGCUUCUAUCUUCAUAAAGAAAAACUGAUAAGCUAGACAAGUAACUAAGAAGUGUUUCAGGAAGUGGUUGGGGGCCAGCAGGAGGGGCCGGGCUUCUGAGUGUAUACCUUGUGUUCUGAUUUUUGAAUCAUGUCAGUGUAUAACCUGUGCAAAACAAAACAAAGUUUAGAGUUCCUGCUCUAAAGCUGCUGAGCUAAGCCUUUAGGAAUUCAUAAAUUAUUAUAUCUGCCCAAUUAAAGAAUAGGUGGGUUUGGUUUUUCAGUUUGAACUGAGCUGUGUCUUGGUGAGAGUCUUCAGCUUACUCCACAUUUGAACACAGUUCAGGAAAGUGUAUUGCAGUUUCCUGGCUCAGCCUAACUCUCAAGAAUUCUUUCUUUACCCUCCAUAUGCUCAAAACCAAUCUUGCCCCUCAAGUGUUGACACUCAGCUAGCUAUCAUUUUUCAAAGUAUUUCAUUUUCAGCUUAUGUAUUCAUGAGCAUCUAACUCUGCCUGAGGGGGAGAAGAGAAGUUUUCACCAGAAAAGUAUAUCUGUGUUUUCAGAAACCAAUAGAUAUGAAAUCUUGCUCUCCAUCCCUUAUCUUUGCCUGUCUCUAUAGCCAUCCUUUCUCCUUUCCCUCCUCCUAGCUAAAACCAAUCCCAGCUCUCCUCCCUUCUCAGGAAACUCACUUUCUUCUGUAUAUGCAAACACACAUCAUGUCUUCUGUCAUAGUAAAACCAAAAACAAAAAAAGCAAACCCCAAACCCACAAAGCCCCCUUCUACCCAGGUUCCCCACAGAGCUCCUGUCCUUUUCUCCCUGUUGGAGCCUUAGCCAGUGGCUCUACUUCUUCCCCUCUCCACCCACCCCCCUUCUCUCUCUCUCUGGGUCGGUCUCUCUCUGUCUCUCUCUCUCUCUCAGUGGCUGUACUUCUUCCCCUCUCCACCCACCCCCCUUCUCUCUCUGUGUGUGUGUGUGUGUGUGUGUGUGUGUGUCUCUGUGUCUCUGUCUCACCACCCUUUCUUCAAUCUACUGCAACCAGACUUCUAUCUCACCAAAACGUUCCUUGCCAAGGUCAUGGAUAACCUCCUUGUUGCUGAAUACAGUGGCCCUAGUCUCAUUCUCAUGUUGCUUGAGUUUUGAGCCCUGCCUGACGCUGAACACAGCCGCCUCCUCCACUCGCUCUCCUUUCAGUCCCUGUGGCCACUGCUCACAGGGGCACCCUCUCAGCCUCACCUUUUCUAUCUCCUCUGCAGGCUCCUCUUUUCUUGCCGGUCUGCUGACCCUCAGGGGCCAUGCCUUGGCUGUCUUCUCAUCUCACAUUCACUUCCAGGAUGAUGCCGGGUUGGAGAAUAUGGAAAACAAAUCUGACUUGCUCGAGUGAAAAAGGAAUCCACUAGAAGAAUGUCAGAAAGCUCACUCAACAAAAGGAAAAGCUAAACAGCUAGGCCUUAUCAGCCUGGGAGCCAGACCGAGCCCUUCCCAGGUGCCAGGAAUCUCUGAGCAUUGCCUCAGGCGAUUCAGUUCCACACAUCUUUGUUCCUGAUACAUCUCUCCGUACAAGAUUCAAAUUCCCAGGAAAGAAACUGAUUGGCUUUCAUGGCAGGGUCAUAUUUGACCCACUCCUACUCACAGGGGCAAAAACUGUAACUUCCUUUGUAUUUUUUCUUUUUCUUUUCUUUUUUUUUUUUUGAGAUGGCGUCUCGCUCUGUCGCCCAGGCUGGAGUGCAGUGGCACGAUCUCGGCUCACUGUAACUUCCACCUCCCAGGUUCAAGCUAUCCUCCUGCCUCAGCCUCCCGAGUAACCGGGACCGCAGGCAUGCGCCACCAUUCCUGGCUAAUUUUUGCAUUUUUAGCAGAGACGGGUGUUUUACUAUGUUGGCCAGGCUGGUCUCGAACCCUGACCUCAAGUGAUCUGCCCGCCUGGACCUCCCAAAGUGCUAGGAUUACAGGCACGAGCCACCACACCCAGCCCUGUAUUUUCAUCUAAUCUCAUUUUCAUCUCAAACUUCCAUUCUCCCAACUUGAGGGGAUAUUUCCUUCUCUUCUGGUUUACAGCGCUCUGUUUUGCACAGAUAUUCAGUGUUCAGGAUCCUCCUCUCUCCUGUGUGCUCCCAUCCUCCCGGCGUGGCAUCUGGGUAUAAGGGGGCAGUGGGUAAGCUUUAUGGCUCAGAUGCCAUUCCCUGCCUGUUGCUGGUCUUCACUCCCACGUGGUCGCUCGGAAUUUGUCCCCGGGCAUUACGGAUUAUGGUGGAACCUACCAAAAUGGGGUGAACCUGAUUUAGUUCCUGAGCAGUACACGGACCUGCUUAGAAAAUUGCCUGUCUGUAGCCAUGAGGUCCUCAUGUGCCACAACCCUCGCAGCUUGUCACCUGGCCUCUCUUUGUCCCUCAGUCCACUUAGCACAUCACUGGGACAUGUGGACACAUCUGGAUUACCACCUACAUGGCACCCACAGGUCAAGGGGACAACGGGCUGCUGUUACCACAGCUUCGGUGCCAGCUUAGUGCUGUCACGUGGUCAGUGGGGGGCAUCUCUCCCUGGGCUGUGCUUGGGAAAGUGGGAUCCUACUGUCCCCCAAACCUGUCCAGAUGCUUCUUAGUCCUACAUAGGAGUUUUCCUUCGAGGAGGGUAGACACUUGCACCUGAACUCUUGUCCUGCUUUUUUUUUUUCCUUGGCAGCACCAGAAGGCUUUUGCCCUGCUUGCUGUACAGGAACUUGUCUGAACCUUAUACUGUGUCAUCUCCACACUAUGGCCUAUAGAAAAUCUCUAUCCUCUCAUCCCCAGGUUGUCCUCUUGCUCUGUAAAGGGAAUAUUUUGAAAGUUAGGAAAACUGUUUCUGCCUCAACGAAGUCACAUUUUAACACUAAUGUCCACAGACUCAAGAAAUCUAAUUUAAAACAGAGCCAGGCAAUGGCUCCCAUUGAUUCAGUGGCUGGAGGGAGCUGCAGGCUAACUAGGAAUUAGGAAUUAGCCACAACAGAAGUGCAUUUGGUUUCAUCUCAAGAAAUAUCCUCCUUUACACCUGUCUUGGCAGAUGUGCCCACUGCUUGGGUGGCAGGACACUUUGAUUGUCUCACCAAGACUGUGUGGAAAGGGGUGGGGUACUUCUCCAAAGGGAAAAGUGGGCUGCUGUCACCCAUAAAAGGGGUAGAGGGAAAGGGCAGGCAGAAACAGUAAAUGUCUUCCAUAGCUUCAGGUCACAUCUGCCUGCUGCUGAUACCACAUUCAUAUCUGCAGCCCAUGUGUCUCCUCGAUGCCACACCUCUGUGUCCACAGUCUUCCUAUUCAGUCGCCUAUGUGGAUGUCCCUCUGACACCUGGUGAAACAUGAUGUGUUUCUAAUUGAGCAGGUUAUCUUUCCCCCUAAGCCUGGUCUCCUGGCCUUUCCCCAGUCCCUUCCAGUUUAAUUGAAUCAAAUCGAAUGUGAUUCAUCUCCUCCCAUCCGUCUGGCUCCUGGGUUAUUUAAUACCCCCCCAAACUUUGGAAAUAUUUUAAUGUGUUAAUAUAUUAUUUUUUAAUAAAAAAUAAUUUUAACAAAAGAAAAAUAUACCUUUAUAGAAAAUUUAGAAAAUAUAAAGACUCAGGCACCUUAUCAUUUUUAUCUCCUGGUUAGCCCUGGGAGGCAGGUACUAUUAUUUAUCCCCAUUUUACAGAUGAGGAAACUGAGGCUCAGAGAGGAAAAUAGCUUGCUGCUUUCACACAGGUCAGAAGGAUCUAUGCCGGAUUUGAGCCCAGGUCUUUCUGAUUGCAAGCUGAAGGCGGUCUUGUCUUUGGGAUACUCAGUUGAGGGGCUUGGCCUUUGCCUCAGAAGCAUUCGACUUGGCCCCUGUCCUUGAGGAUGUCCCCUGGCAGCAUUUGGUAAAGGUGUUGCGGAGCGCCUAGGAGCCACACUGCCUCUGAGAAGCCCUGCCUCAGAUGCCCACCCCUCUGUGUGGCCUUGGGCACACUGCCCAAGCCCCUGUGCCCAGUUUACUCCUCUGAAAAAUGGGGAUGAUGAUAGUAAUCGUAGGACUUCCCUUAGAGGGCUAGGAGAGGAUGAAAUGACUAAUGUGGUAGAACACUGCCCGGCUCAUAGCAUCUGAUAUGGCUUAGAUAUUUGUCCCCUCCAAAUCUCAGGUCAAACUGUGACCCCCAGUGUUGGAGGUGGGGCCUGAUGGGAGGUGUUUGGGUCAUGGGGGUGGAUCCCUCAGGAAUGGCAUGGUGCCCUCCCAUGGUAAUGAGUUCACCCCAGGCCCAUUUGUUAGAGCCUGGUACCUCCUGCCUCCUCCCUCUUGCUUCCCUCUCUGGCCGUGUUAUCUGUGCAGGCCGGCUCCGCUUCACCUCCUGCCAUGAGUGGAAGCAGCCUGAGACACUCACUAGAAGCCAGGCAGAUGCUGGUGCCAUGCAGAACUGUGACCCAAGCAAACUUCUUUUCUGUAUACAUUACCCAGUCUCAGCUAUUCCUUUAUAGCAUCGCAAAACAGACUAAUAUAGCAUCCAACAACAUUAGCCACUGCUACUAUUAUCAUUAGUAUUUUAAGUGUGUGCAUUUUAAUUGCUGGUACACUGUGUGAACUGGCUUGGAUGUUUGUCCCCUCCAAAUCUCAUGUCGAACUGUAAUCUCCAGUGUUGGAGGUGGGGCCUGGUGGGAGGUGUUUGGAUCAUGGGGGCAUAUUCCUCAUGCUUGGCUUAGCGCCAUCCUGUGGUGAUGAGUGAGCUAAUGGGAGAUCUGAUUGUUUAAAGGUGUGCGGCACCUCCCCUCUCUCUUGUUCCUGCUCUUGCUAUGUGACACACAGGCUCCCCUUUGCCUUCCACCAUGACUGUAAAUUCCCUAUGGCCUCACCAGAAGCAGAUGCCAGCACCCCACUUCCUAUACAGCUUGCAGAACCAAGAACAAAUUAAACUUGUUUUCUUUAUAAAGACAGACUCAGGCAUUUAUUUGUAUCAGUGCACAAACAGCCUCAUACACUGGGCAUACGUGUUAUAUCCUGCUUUCCUUCAAUUUACUAUUAGCGUUUUUAUGUCACAAACUAUUCCUCAAAACAUUAUUUUAAUGACUGUAUAAUAGUCCAUCAUUUAAAUAUAUUCAUAACUUAUUCUGUAGUUAACCAUCCACCCGUUUCUGGACAAUUAGGGGUGUGUGUGGGUGUUUGUUGUAAUAAAAAACUCUAAACCAAAAAUCCUUGUCUGAUUAUUUUCUUAGAAUUUUACACCUGGAACUCCUGGGUGGGAAGGUAUAAACCGUUUAAAGUCUCCGGCAACACACUAAUAAAUUGCUUCAAAGGAAAGUUCUCAACCGUUACUCUCAGCAGUGUGUGUAUUAGGGCCAUCCUCACCACACCCUUUCAGGUAGCGAGGUGAGCUUUUUCAAAGUCCACCUUUGUUGCUAUUUCUUUACAAGGCAGGUUUUACUACAUGUCCUUGGGUUGGUGGGGGUUGGUCCCAUGCUCAAGGUGCUUCUACCUAUGCUGCCUGUUACAAUGUUCUUAAAUUAGCUAACAGUCCCAUAAACCCUGAGUGGACAUAUUCACCCUGUUUCCUGCCUGGUCUGUUCUCCUGCGGGUGGAAAUAUAAUUUUCAGUGCUGGAAAUUUUUUUUUUUUUUUUUGAGACGGAGUCUUGCUGUGUCACCCAAACUGGAGUGCAGUGGCACCAUCUCGGCUCACUGCAAUCCCCGCCUCCAGGGUUCAAGCGAGUCUCCUGCCUCAGCGCCCCGAGUAGCUGGAAUUACAAGCUCACACCACCACGUCCAGCUAAUCUUUUUUGUAUUUUUUGUAGAGACAGGGUUUCACCAUAUUGGCCAGGCUGGUAUCAAACUCCUGACCUCAAGUGAUCCACCCACCGUGGCCUCUGAAAGUGUUGGGAUUACAGGUGUGAGCCACCGUGCCUAGCCAAUUCACUGGUUUCUCUGUUUCUCUGUCGCCCCUGCUUUAAGAUGUUUAGCAUGUGGCCUCGCUCCCUGGUGACAGCACAGUCCCAAAGCCCAGUAAUAUAUUUUAAAGAAGUCUAUUAAAGGUACGAGCUUAGCUGGACUGACCCAUUAUCUGAAAUCUGUGUGUGGCCUUCCCAACUUACAUUGCCAAUACUUGUGCCUGUUUCAACUUGAGAUUCCUGUUCGGUGUACUCUCCCUUUAAGUUACCCUACUGCUGGUAUCCUAACCUCCCAGAAAGAGAGCUAGAGUUUUAUUUUGUUAAAGUAAAAUCAGUAUUCCCCAGUGCUCUGUAUUUUACAAAAUGCAUUCACACAUGACUGCCUUGAUCCUCAGAAUGAUUCUGGGAGUUACUGUGUUUAUCUCCAUUUUGCAGAUGAGCCCCAGAGAGGCGAAGCCACUUGAGCUCGUGAGUGACAGUCAGAUGUCAAGCCCUGCUCUUUCUAAAGCGUGCUGCCUUCAGAAAAGAAGAGCCAGAAGGAUGGAAAUUACUUCAGAAAGAUGAAUACCAGCUUUGAAGGAAUAAAAGCUGACGAGGAAUUGAAGGAGUUGAGGCACGAGCUUGAACAGGGUUGCAUGUUUGGCCCUUGAUUGUAAAUGCCCAUUGCUGCACCUGUUCCUGUUACUUGGGGAGUUGCAGCAGAAGGAACAGCGGCCUGGGACUCCAGAGAACUGGGUUCCCUCUCAUCCCUCCAGGGCCACCACUUCUUGUGGGCCCUUGGGCAAGUCACUGUACUUUCUGAGUCUCAGUUUCCCCAUUUGCAGAAUGGAAAUAACUACCCCGGUCUACCAACUUAGAAGAAUUGCUUUGAGGAUCUGAUAAGGUGGUGUGGAUGAUGCUGCCUUGGGGGCUUUACAGUCUGGAGCUCAAGGGACCCCUUAAGUUGGGCUUACUUAGUAACUCCAGGGGUGGGCAGAACAGGACUCCAAUGAGGGUUUUUUUCUUUUUCCCUUUUUUUUCUUUUCCUAUCUCUUAACUUUUAUCUUUAUUAUUUUACAAUGCCCUUGUAAGAUGAAACAAGUGAUGCUGAAAUAUCUUUUUCUUUUUUAACCUUUAUUUUAGAAUUGGGGUACAUGUGCAGGUUUGUUACAUAGGUACAGUGUGGGCUGCUGAGGUUUGGGAGUACGAAUGAAUUAGUCACCCCAGUGGUGAGCAUAGUGCCCGAUAAGUGGUUUUUUCAACCCUUACUCCCAUCCCUCUCCAUUCUUGUGUUCCCCAGUGUCUGCUGUUCCCAUUUUUAUGACCAUGUGUACUCAAUGUUUAGCUCCCACUUAGAAGUAAGAACAUGCCCAGCACUUUGGGAGGCCGAGGUGGGUGGAUCAUGAGGUCAAGAGAUCGAGACCAUCUUGGCUAACAAAGUGAAACCCUGUCUCUACUAAAAACAUAAAAAAUUGGCCGGGUGUGGUGGUGGGCACCUGUAGUCCUAGCUACUCGGGAGGCUGAGACAGGAGAAUCGCCUGAACCGGGGAGGUGGAGGUUGCAGUGAGCUGAGAUUGUACCACUGCACUCCAGCCUGGGUGACAGAGUGAGACUCCAUCUCAAAAAAAUAAAAAUAAAAAAAUAAAAAGAAUGUGGUGUAUGAUUUUGUUUUCUGUUUCUAUGUUAAUCCACUUAGGAUAAUGGCCUCCAGCUACAUCCACGUUGUUACAAAAGACACGAUUUCAUUCUCUUAUAUGGCUGCCUAAUAUUCCACGGUGUAUAUGUACCAUAUUUUCUUUAUCACAUCCACUGUUGAUCCACACCUGGGUUGAUUCCAUGUCUGUGCUAUUGUGAAUAGCACUGCAGUGAACAUGUGGGUGCGUGUGUCUUUGUGGUAGAACGAUUUCUUUUCCUUUGAGUAUAAUAUAUCCAUUAAUGGGAUGGGGCUGACAUACUUAAAGUAGAAACGAAAAUUGUCAUGUGCUCCCCCACGCCCCUCCAUUCUACUCUGCAGAGAGACAGCUGCCUGCUGUUUGUGGUUUAGUACACCUCCUUCCAG